GAUGAACGCUAGCGGCAGGCUUAACACAUGCAAGUCGAGGGGUAUAGUUCUUCGGAAUUAGAGACCGGCGCACGGGUGCGUAACGCGUAUGCAAUCUACCUUUCACAGAGGGAUAGCCCCAGAGAAAUUUGGAUUAAUACCUCAUAGUAUAGCAGUUUCGCAUGAAACCACUAUUAAAGUCACAACGGUGAAAGAUGAGCAUGCGUCCCAUUAGCUAGUUGGUAAGGUAACGGCUUACCAAGGCAACGAUGGGUAGGGGUCCUGAGAGGGAGAUCCCCCACACUGGUACUGAGACACGGACCAGACUCCUACGGGAGGCAGCAGUGAGGAAUAUUGGACAAUGGGCGCAAGCCUGAUCCAGCCAUGCCGCGUGCAGGAUGACGGUCCUAUGGAUUGUAAACUGCUUUUAUACAGGAAGAAACACUACUUCGUGAAGUAGCUUGACGGUACUGUAAGAAUAAGGAUCGGCUAACUCCGUGCCAGCAGCCG
Molecule: ribosomal RNA, 489 nt
Filed under: uncultured bacterium
Lineage: Bacteria
Description: bacterial SSU rRNA
Rfam family: Bacterial small subunit ribosomal RNA
Source: RNAcentral